Molecule: long non-coding RNA, 783 nt
Organism: Drosophila persimilis
Lineage: Eukaryota; Metazoa; Arthropoda; Insecta; Diptera; Drosophilidae
Exons: 2
Source: RefSeq, a predicted model, not a curated record
UUCUUUUCUCUACCUCUGCAUCCCGCUACUGCUCACAUGACAAAUGCAAAUAUGGAAAUGUCCAUAAGUGUGCAUCAUUAUCAGCUCAGACAGCUUCGGACUGAUAAGAUGCCUCUGUCUCCGCUCUUCCGAGGCAGGGCCUGUCCGCAUAUACAACCGGUUGUAAACACUUUGUCAUUCGCCCUCGUUCUGGUCGUACCGUACCCUCUUCGAGGAACUUCUCGUUCGCAGUUUGAUUUGAAUGAUUUAGUGCCCAAAUGUGGAAGAUGUCGUCGUUAAUUUAUGAAUCCUUCGGCGGUUUCGGGGCGAGGACCCAGUUUUGGAUACAAGAGCCGUUACAAAGUGUUAGGAUUUUAAUGGACUCUCGUUUACGUAAGAGGGUCGUUGUCGGAAAUGUCAGCGCAAUAACCCUUCCCUAUAUAUUUAUAAUCUAACUUCUUAUCGAUAUGUGAGUGCGCUUGUCUAGGCUUAAAUCUGUGUCUGCGCGUGCGCAUACUGUGUGACUGCAACGAAAAGGAUAGAAACAGCCCAUAGCCAUGGUAAUGCUGCUGACACACGUUACAUUUUCAACGAACUCACAUGAAAAUCCUCGAAAAGGAAGGAACUCGAAAAAGGUGGAAUGCCGAAGUGUGUAUGGGAAUGUGUGGACAGAAGAUGCUUGACCAGAAGUUUGGUGGAUUCUGUUUUUCUUUGUUUGCAAACUUUUUUUCCAGUUCAAGGUUAAUUUUCGAUCGAUUUUCAUUUUAAGCUAAUUACUUAUGCGAUUAUAGUUCUUAGACUCCG